AAGGUUUGUGAAUAAUUUUUGUGAUAUCCACUACCACAGAUAAGUAAAAAUGCCCUCACAUUCAAAGGGUUGGCCACCACUGAUUUAAGGUAUCUACUCACCUUCUAGAUUUCUUAAAUGCACUGUCAUCAACCAGCUUAGAACAUUGCUAAGUGUAUAGUAAGCUCUCAAUUAUUACCUUAUUUCUUAAUAACUAUUAUCUUUUAAUUUUGUCUUAUUUAGUAGGAAGCCUACUGAAGUUCUGUUGAGAUCUAUCUAUAUAUAAAAAUGUGUGUCUCACACACAUACACAUACCUAUAUAAGUUAUAUAUGUGUAUAAUAAAUUCUUACUUAACUUUGCUGAUAGGUUCUUGGAAACAGUAAGUGAAGCAACAUAUUAAGUAAACUAAUUUUUACCAGAAUUUAAUACAAGAGUUAUGUUUGCAUGACAUAUAGCAACAAUGUUCAUUUAAAGAUGCACUUUUCAUGAACCUAUUUUGAACAUAAAGUGAGGACUUACUGUACAUACAUGUGCAACCUGGAUUUUUCUGAUAAAUAAAAAUUGUAUAAUGUGUACAGUAUAAUGAUUUGAUAUGUAUAUACAUUGUAAAAUAAAAUAUAGUCAAGUUAGUGAACACAUCUAUUACCUCAGGUAGAUAACCAGUUUUUUUGUAGUAAGAACACUUAAGGUCUACUGUUGUAGCAAAUUGUAAGCAUACAUUACAGUAUUACUAACUAUAAAUAAUGCUAUUUUGCUGAUCUAAUGCUGAAUGUACUUUAGAUUUUUCAGAGUUACUCAAGUUACAACUAAAAAUUUGUACUCUUUGAACAACAUUUCCGUAUUUUCCACCCUCAGGCACUAACAAUCACCAUCAAUCAAUGUUAAAGUUUUUUUGUUUUGUUUUGUUUUGUUUUGUUUUUGAGAUGGAGUCUCGCUGUCACCCAGGCUGGAGUGCAGUGGCGCGAUAUCUACUCACUGCAAGGUCUGCCUCCCGGGUUCACACCAUUCUCCUGCCUCAGCCUCCCAAGUAGCUGGGACUACAGGUGCCCGCCACCACGCCCGGCUAAUUUUUUGUAUUUUUAGUAGAGAUGGGGUUUCACCAUGUUAGCCAGGAUGGUCUCUAUCUGACCUCGUGAUCUGCCCACCUCGGCCUCCCAAAGUGCUGGGGAUUACAGGCGUGAGCCACCGUGCCCAGCCAAUCAGUGUUAAAGUUGUUUAAGGUUACACUUAAGUUUCAAAAUUGUGUUUUCUAUUACUGUGAAAAAUGACACUAAAAUUUUCACUUUGAAUAUAUAGAUCACUUAUGAUAAUACGGUACUUUGACAGUAUUAGUUAUUCUAAUGGAAUAUUUUUCCAUUUAUUUGUGUCUACUGAAAUUUCUGUCAUUAACAUCUUAUUGUAUUUAGUGUAUACAUAUUUAAUCUCAUCGGUUAAAUUUACUAUGAUUAAAUUUUUUAUUUUUAAAUUGUUGCAAAUGAAAAUUGUUUCUUUUUUGUUUGUUUGUUUUUGGAAAGUUUGUUGUUACUAUUUGGAAAUGCAACACAUAUUUUUAUGUUGGGCCAGUUCCAGUGACUCAUUUCUGUAAUCCCAGCACUUUCAGAGGCCAAGGCUGAUAGAUCACUUGAGCAUAGGAGUUUAAGAUGAACCUGGGCAACAGAGUAUUAACUCUGAAAAUCUGAGACAGGUCUCAGUUAAUGUAGAAAGUUUAUUUUGCUGGCCAGGCACAGUGGCUCACGACCGUAAUCCCAGUACUUUGGGAGGCUAAGGUGGGUGGAUCACAAGGUCAAGAGAUCAAGACCAUCCUGGCCAACGUGGUGAAACCCCAUCUCUACUAAAAAUACAAAAAUUAGCUGGGCGUGGUGGCACGCGCCUGUAGUCCCAGCUACUAGGGAGGCUGAGGCAGGAGAAUCACUUGAACCCAGGAGGUGGAAAUUACAGUGAGCUGAGAUUGCACCACUACUCCAGCCUGGAGACAGAGUGAGACUCUUGUCUUAAAAAAAAAAAAAAAAAAGUUUAUUUUGUCAAGGUUUAGGACACGUGCCCCUGACACAGCCUUAGGAAGUCUUGAUGACGUGUGCCCAAGGUGGUUUGGGCACAGCUUGGUUUUAUACAUUUUAAGGAGACAUGAGACAUAAAUCAAUAUGUGUAAGAUGUACAUUGGUUCCAUCUUGAAAGGCAGGACAGCUUAAGCAGGGAUAGUGUUUCUAGGUCACAGGUACAUGAGAGACAAACUGCUGCAUUCUUUUGAGUUUCUGAUUUGUCUGUCCAAAGGAGGCAAUCAGAUGUCCCUUUAUCUCAGUGAGCAGAGGGAUGACUUUGAAUAGAAUGGGAGGCAGGUUUGCCCUAGGCAGUACCCAGCUUGACGGUUUAGCUUAGUGAUUUUGGGGGCCCCAAGAGUUCCAAGAUUUAUUUUCCUUUCACAAGAUUAUGUAUCCUGAUGCUUUAAUGAAUGCAUUUAUUGAGUUUUUGUUCAUUUACUCUAGAGUUAUAUAUAUGUGCAUGAUUAUAUAAUCUACAGACAGUAAUGUUUUUAUUUCUUUCCCAAAGCUGGAGAGCUUCGUUUUCCUUUUCCUUGCCUAAUUGUUCUCAUACAAAUUUUUAGUAAUAUGUUAAGAUAGAAGCUGUGGCCCUGGAGGCAGGCCUGCAGAUCUUGGCCUCAGCUGUGGUCUCUGAAGCAGCCCUGUGUCUGUACGUUUGAAGGAUCUAACAAUGAUUAUAAUUUCUGUAACUAUAACAAUGAUUACAAUUUGGCAGGUAAAGAACUCCUUUUGUUCUGUCCUCCUGCUGAUGAGAUUACCUCUGCUUUUGAUGGUUGUGUUACCGGAGAUUUGGACAGUCAUGGAUUCUUUCUGGGCCCUGGAAAGAUUAAAUUUCCUUGAGGACAUUAAUCUGUAUGGCAGGCAGUAAGGCAGGGUUUUGAAGUUUGUCUGCGUAUGAUAGGCCAAGUACCAGGUGUAUGAAUGGGUUUGGCUUCUACUGACUACCGGGGAACAGUUUUCACAGGUCUCUCUGAGUCCCUGAGUGUGUACAACUGGCCAUGGACUGUGGCUGUGAGGGCUAGAACUGAGUCACAGGACUGCUUCAGGGAACAUAGCUGAGGCCGAGAUCUGUAGGCCUGCCUCCAGGUCCAUGGCUGGGUGUGUCUCCUUGCAGGUCUCUUGAUAGGAAGGACCACUUGUGUACUGUAGCUGAGAGGAGUUUGAGACAGGUUGCAGAACUGCUUCAGCAUCCUUAGUAAGACCAAGCUUAGUGUGCCAUGUUUUAUCUGCAGCCAUGUCUAUGGGCUCUUGAGUUGGCCACCUGGGUGAGGCCCUGCUUUUUCCAAAUAUCCCUACUUGAUCUUUGGCUCCACUGAGGUUUCACAACCCUAGCCAAAGGCAAGCACCUUUCUACUUGUGUUUUCUGUGAGUUUACUACUUAAGAUAUCUUACCUAAGUGGAAUCAUACACUGUCACUUUAUUAGUAUCUUAUUUCACUUAAAAUAAUGGCUUUAAGAUUUAUCCUUAUUGUAGCAUCUGACAAGAUAUUUUCAUUUGAAGCUAAGGAAUAUUUCAUUGUAUGUAUAAGCCACAUCUUUUUAAAUCAUUCAUCUAUUGAAGGGUGUUUGAGUUUUUUCACUUUUUGGCUUUUGUAAGUGAUAUAGUUUGGAUCUGGGUCCCCAUUCAAAUCUCAUGUCAAGUUGCAGUCCCUAGUGUUGGAGGUGGGCCUGGUGGGAGGUGAUGGGAUGGUAGGGUUGGCUUCUCAUGAAUGGUUAACACCAUCCCCUUUGGUACUGUCUUUGGCAUAGUGAGUUUGUUCUCCUGAGAUCUCAUUUUUUAAAAGCAUGUGGCACCUCUCCUUUCACUGUCUCUUGCUCCUGCUCCCACUAUGUGAGGUGACUCACUCUUUGUUUGCUUUCUACCAUAAUUGGAAGCUUUUUGAGGCCUCUCUAGAAACAGAAGCUGCUAUGCUUCCUGUACAGCCUGCAGAACCACGAGCCAAUUAAACCUUUUUCUAAAAAAAAAAAUUACCUAGUCUCAGGUAUUUAUAGCAAUGCAAGAAUAAACUAAUACAGUGAAUAUUGCUGCAGUAAACAUGGAUGUGCAAAUAUUUCUGUCAGAUAUACUUUGCAUAUUUUGAAUAGGAUGCUCAGAAGUAGAAUUAGUGGGUCAUAGAAUAACUUCAUUUUUUUUUUGGAGGAACCCCUAUACAUUUUUUAGGGGCUGCAUCACUUUCUUCCCACCAGCAGUGCACAAGGGUUUCAAUUCAUCUACAUUGUUGACAUUUGUUAUUUUUUGUUUGCUUGAUAUUGGCCAUUCCAAUUAAUACACGAUAAUACCUCAUUGUGGUUUUGCUUUACAUUUUUCUAAAGAUUAAAAAUUUUUUCAAUAAUUGUUUGCUGUGUG
RNAcentral lists this long non-coding RNA (4365 nucleotides) under Homo sapiens (human). Its description in RNAcentral is "LHRI_LNC916.1". The stretch from base 3214 to 3297 matches the Rfam family "mir-571 microRNA precursor family". The record is from RNAcentral. Lineage: Eukaryota; Metazoa; Chordata; Mammalia; Primates; Hominidae.